UAGUAUAUUAUAUAUAUUAUAUAUUAUAUUAAUUAAUAUAAUAUUUUAUAAAAAAAUGAAACUAUGAGGAGUUUCAUAUUAUCAUUAACAAACUAAAUGGAAUAACAACAAGUACCUUAGCGGGGUUGGUGGAAAAGCUAAGUCUUGUUGUUUUUUUAGUUUUUAUUGAUAAUGUCAAUAUAUAUAUAUAUAAUUAUAGUAGUUCGGCUGGCUAGGUG
This 218-nucleotide ribosomal RNA is filed under the name Bunostomum trigonocephalum (sheep hookworm). RNAcentral describes it as "large subunit ribosomal RNA". The record is from RNAcentral. Lineage: Eukaryota; Metazoa; Nematoda; Chromadorea; Rhabditida; Ancylostomatidae.